This 780-nucleotide ribosomal RNA is filed under the name uncultured bacterium. RNAcentral's name for it is "bacterial SSU rRNA". It matches the Rfam family "Bacterial small subunit ribosomal RNA", at positions 8 to 798 of the family's 1533-position model. The record is from RNAcentral.
AGAGUUUGAUCCUGGCUCAGAAUGAACGUUGGCGGCGUGGAUUAGGCAUGCAAGUCGAACGAGUCUCUGGGGGGUAACUCCUAGAGGAAAGUGGCGAAAGGGGCAGUAAUGUAUGGGUAACCUACCUUGAGGUCUGGGAUAGCUAUUCUAACGGAUAGGUAAUACUGGACGGCCUAAGUUGUCGGCAUCGACGAUUUAGUAAAGGUUACGCCUCGAGAGGGGCCCAUAUGAUAUUAGCUAGUUGGUGGGGUGAUGGCCCACCAAGGCAAAGAUGUCUAGCGGGUGUGAGAGCACGACCCGCGUCAUUGGCACUGAGACACUGGCCAAACUCCUACGGGAGGCUGCAGUCGAGGAUCUUCGGCAAUGGACGAAAGUCUGACCGAGCAACGCCGCGUGUGCGAUGAAGGCCUUCGGGUUGUAAAGCACUGUCGAGGGGAAACAAGCCGUAAGGUUGAGUGACCCCUGGAGGAAGCACGGGCUAAGUUCGUGCCAGCAGCCGCGGUAAGACGAACCGUGCAAACGUUAUUCGGAAUCACUGGGCUUAAAGGGCGCGUAGACGGGUGAUCAAGUCAAUGGUGAAAUCCUCCAGCUUAACUGGAGAAGUGCCUUUGAUACUGAUUGUCUAGAGGGAGGUAGGGGCAUGUGGAACUUCAGGUGGAGCGGUGAAAUGCGUAGAUAUCUGAAGGAACGCCAGUGGCGAAAGCGAUGUGCUGGACCUCUUCUGACGCUGAGGCGCGAAAGCUAGGGGAUCAAACGGGAUUAGAUACCCUGGUAGUCCAA